GGCACAGCAACUUCUAUCCCUACCUCCUCUCGGUACUGGCCGGGGUACGAGCAACCAGGUAACCAACCCCGGUGAGAACUUUGGUCGUAUGCUGGCAGGGUUUA
This 104-nucleotide ribozyme is filed under the name Aedes aegypti (yellow fever mosquito). Its description in RNAcentral is "drz-agam-1 ribozyme". It matches the Rfam family "drz-agam-1 ribozyme". Lineage: Eukaryota; Metazoa; Arthropoda; Insecta; Diptera; Culicidae. The record is from Rfam by way of RNAcentral.